UGAGGAAUUUUGCGCAAUGGGGGAAACCCUGACGCAGCAACGCCGCGUGAGUGAAGAAGGCCCUUGGGUCGUAAAGCUCUGUCGACAGGGAAGAAAUUACAGUUUUCUAAUAGGAGAUUCUAUUGACGGUACCUGUAGAGGAAGCACCGGCUAACUCCGUGCCAGCAGCCGCGGUAAUACGGGGGGUGCAAGCGUUAUUCGGAAUUAUUGGGCGUAAAGGGCGCGUAGGCGGUCUUGUCGGUCAGAUGUGAAAGCCCAGGGCUCAACCCUGGACGUGCAUUUGAAACAGCAAGACUUGAGUACGGGAGAGGAAAGCGGAAUUCCUGGUGUAGAGGUGAAAUUCGUAGAUAUCAGGAGGAACACCGAUGGCGAAGGCAGCUUUCUGGACCGAUACUGACGCUGAGGCGCGAAGGCGUGGGUAGCGAACAGGAUUAGAUACCCUGGUAGUCCACGCAGUAAACGAUGUACACUAGGUGUGGCGGAUAUUAAAAUCUGCUGUGCCCAAGCUAACGCAUUAAGUGUACCGCCUGGGGAGUACGGUCGCAAGACUA
RNAcentral lists this ribosomal RNA (551 nucleotides) under uncultured bacterium. RNAcentral describes it as "bacterial SSU rRNA". It matches the Rfam family "Bacterial small subunit ribosomal RNA", at positions 355 to 896 of the family's 1533-position model. The record is from RNAcentral.